RNAcentral lists this long non-coding RNA (812 nucleotides) under Homo sapiens (human). RNAcentral describes it as "HSALNT0267849". The record is from RNAcentral. Lineage: Eukaryota; Metazoa; Chordata; Mammalia; Primates; Hominidae.
CCCCGCAGGUCCGGAAUGGUGAUAGUCUCCAGCUCUUGCUCCAGAAAGCGCAGCCCCUCCUGCUUCACUGAAGCAGCAGAGAAACCCUUACUUAGCUCCCGUGCCCACUGUUGGGGCGACCCCAACCCCGUCCGCUCCCGUCCGUCCCUGUCUGCCCCUGCGCCUUACCCAGCUCCAGCGCCUUGGAGGUGACGCGGAUCUUGCAGCCUGGGAACUCUGCAUGUGCGCCUGCCAGCAGCGCUAGGAAGAGGGCCCCGAAGAGGGCCAUGGCGAGCGGGCCUGGGGGUGGGGUGGGGUCGCAGGAGUUAUCUGAGCCGCUUAAACCCAUUCCUUGGACGUCCAACCAUAAGUGGGAACUAGCCUGGAUCGUUACCCUCCAGAUAACUCUUCGGGGAACUUGGAACCAAUAAUCUUGCCUCCAUAUGGCAGAUGUGGAAACUGAGGCUCAGAGAGGCGAUGCGACUUGCGUUCUGGCUCCCAGAGGAUUUGGGACACGGGGGAGGGGACGUUCCCAGUUCCCUCGUGCUACCGCCGCGUGAUGAGUUUGGACCUCCAGGGGACCAGCCCCCACACCCCCAACAACCUCCCCUUUCCUUUAGCGGUGGGCCCAUGCAGGCUUGCACGUUGCCACGGCAACGACUGCACGCGCAUUCUUGGAGGGUGGCUUGCGGUCUCCUAGGCCUCGCGCCCGGGGAGGAGAGGAGGUGGCCGACCAGACCGUGGGCUCCCGGGUCUCCCGGCUCCCUCAGGUCCUAAAUCUCUCCCAUUAGAGAUUCUGCCUGGAGCCCCCAUGUUAGCGUUCUCCUUCAUCG